CUAAGAAUAUUCCGCAAUGGACGAAAGUCUGACGGAGCGACGCCGCGUGGAUGAUGAAGGCCGAAAGGUUGUAAAGUCCUUUUGCUGGGGAAGAAUAACCAUGGGAGGGAAUGCCCGUGGGAUGACAUGAACCGGCGAAUAAGCCCCGGCCAACUACGUGCCAGCAGCCGCGGUAACACGUAGGGGGCGAGCGUUGUUCGGAAUUACUGGGCGUAAAGGGCAUGUAGGCGGUCUUGUAAGCUUGGCGUGA
This 250-nucleotide ribosomal RNA is filed under the name uncultured bacterium. RNAcentral describes it as "partial 16S ribosomal RNA". It matches the Rfam family "Bacterial small subunit ribosomal RNA", at positions 355 to 597 of the family's 1533-position model. The record is from RNAcentral.